This is a non-coding RNA of Peromyscus maniculatus bairdii (prairie deer mouse), 462 nucleotides long. NCBI's taxonomy places the organism in Eukaryota, Metazoa, Chordata, Mammalia, Rodentia, Cricetidae. The record is from RefSeq and is a predicted model, not a curated record.
CUUUGAUAGUAUCUAAGGGGCCAGCCACAGAUAAUUCCAGAGCCUUGCCUAGGGUCAUACCACAAGAAGUAAGUCAUCUGACCCCCAGGCCACCACGAUUUUCCUUUCAGCACCCACUUCUGAGCCUGAAAAGUCAAACUGGAGCUCCGGCUUAGGGCAGGGACUUCCACUCCAGGGGACCUGGGCACCGACCGGAAUGAAGUCCUGCUGCGCCGGCCAGAGGCGAAAGUGGGAUGUGGAUUGCAGUCUGGAAAAAUUAGGCUGGACUCGGAUCCUUGCGGCCCCAGCUGUGGACCAGCGCCUGACCCGAGCGCAUCCCUGAGUGAAUUAAUCCUCUUAUGACUAAAAGGUAACGUGGAAGGACGUCCUUUUGAUGUGGAAAAGCACCAUUUGUGACUCACAUUCAGACUGAUUAAGGAAUAAUUGUUGUUAAACGCUUUGCAAGAGGAAAGUGUUUAAUUG